UACGUAGGGGGCAAGCGUUGUCCGGAAUUAUUGGGCGUAAAGAGCUCGUAGGCGGUUUGUCGCGUCUGCUGUGAAAACCUAAGGCUCAACCUUGGGCUUGCAGUGGGUACGGGCAGACUAGAGUGCGGUAGGGGUGACUGGAAUUCCUGGUGUAGCGGUGGAAUGCGCAGAUAUCAGGAGGAACACCGAUGGCGAAGGCAGGUCACUGGGCCGCAACUGACGCUGAGGAGCGAAAGCAUGGGGAGCGAACAGG
This 253-nucleotide ribosomal RNA is filed under the name uncultured bacterium. RNAcentral describes it as "partial 16S ribosomal RNA". It matches the Rfam family "Bacterial small subunit ribosomal RNA", at positions 524 to 776 of the family's 1533-position model. The record is from RNAcentral.